Molecule: ribosomal RNA, 498 nt
Filed under: uncultured bacterium
Lineage: Bacteria
Description: partial 16S ribosomal RNA
Rfam family: Bacterial small subunit ribosomal RNA
Source: RNAcentral
AGCGAACGCUGGCGGCGUGCCUAACACAUGCAAGUCGAACGUGAAAAGGGAAACCUGAGUAAAGUGGCGUACGGGUGAGUAACGCGUAGGUAAUCUACCCCAGAAUCUGGAAUAACCUGCCGAAAGGCGGGCUAAUACUGGAUAGAGCGAGGGAACUCGUAAGAGAGUUUUUCGGGAAAGGGAGCCCGCAAGGGCCUUCGUUCUGGGAUGAGCCCGCGUCUCAUUAGCUAGUUGGUAAGGUAACGGCUUACCAAGGCGAUGAUGGGUAGCUGGUCUGAGAGGAUGAUCAGCCACACUGGAACUGAAACACGGUCCAGACUCCUACGGGAGGCAGCAGUGGGGAAUCUUGCGCAAUGGACGAAAGUCUGACGCAGCCACGCCGCGUGAGUGAAGAAGGCCUUCGGGUUGUAAAGCUCUGUCGGAUGGGACGAACAUCUUCAUAGUGAAUAGCUAUGAGGACUGACGGUACCAUCAAAGGAAGCACCGGCUAACUCCGUG